Molecule: ribosomal RNA, 371 nt
Filed under: uncultured organism
Description: partial 16S ribosomal RNA
Rfam family: Bacterial small subunit ribosomal RNA
Source: RNAcentral
GGAGGGUGCAAGCGUUGUUCGGAAUUACUGGGCGUAAAGGGCGUGUAGGCGGUUAGGCAAGUCAGGUGUGAAAUCCCUUGGGCUCAACCAAGGAAGUGCGCUUGAAACUGCUUAACUAGAGUACAGGAGGGAAGGUGGAAUUCCCAGUGUAGAGGUGAAAUUCAUAGAUAUUGGGAGGAACACCGGUAGCGAAGGCGGCUUUCUGGCCUGAUACUGACGCUGAGACGCGAAAGCGUGGGGAGCAAACAGGAUUAGAUACCCUGGUAGUCCACGCUGUAAACGAUGUGCACUAGGUGUAGGAAGUGUUGACCCUUUCUGUGCCGAAGCUAACGCAUUAAGUGCACCGCCUGGGGAGUACGGUCGCAAGGCUA